GUUUUCAUAGCUUAAUUCAAAGCAUAGCACUGAAAAUGCUAAGAUGGAGAUACCUGAUAACA
RNAcentral lists this transfer RNA (62 nucleotides) under Orientocoluber spinalis (Slender racer). Its description in RNAcentral is "tRNA-Phe". It matches the Rfam family "tRNA". From Rfam's summary of the family: Transfer RNA (tRNA) molecules are approximately 80 nucleotides in length. The record is from RNAcentral. Lineage: Eukaryota; Metazoa; Chordata; Lepidosauria; Squamata; Colubridae.